UUCUUUAUCCUUCCUUUCCAGAAUACUGAACAAAUGAAAAGGGAUUGUUGUGUUUUCAGGAUGAAGUUAUCCCUUAAACAAAAUAUAACAUGGUAUACACUUGUCAUAAUAAUAUGUAUAUGAAAAUGUUUAUAAGAAAGCUUUUAAGAACUUUUGUGGGCAAAAUUAAUGGUGUUAGAAUGUCUACAACAAUUGGUAAACUUGUGGACUUUGGGGUUUAGAUUGAGGAGAUUACAAAGAAAUGCAUCUGUUUGGGAGAUACCUUCCUUAAUUCCUGACCAGCAACCCAAACGGUGUUUUAAUACAUCUGCUGGGGUACAGGGUGGUUCUUGUAUAGCACACUCUUACUCCUAGAGACUGCUGGUCAUAGUUGAAUUCACAAAACAAUCCCAUAAUUGUAAUGGUGAAACACUUUGUCAGAUGCCCCAACAAAAUCUUAAUCUCAAAUAAGAAAUGGAAAAGUUAUUGUCAUAAACCGUGAUCACAAUUCCUUGUUAGAAAAGACAUUACAAUUAAACUUCUUUUUCUGUUUCAAGGCUAUAGAAAUGUAAGUGAGGCUUUGUAAAUGAUGUUAUGGUUCAGAAGGUGCAGCAGUGUGUUGUGCAGUGUCAUCUCAUCAGCAGUGAACAAUCUGUAGAUCACCAUAGGCUUGCAAUUGAAAAAAAGAGACAGCAUUCUAACAUCUAACACAGAGAUUUGAAUUUCAGUUUAUAAAAGCCAUUUGACAAGACUGGAAUCACAGUUUUGCUGUUGGUGAACUCAUCCUUUUCUUGAUGAUGUGUUUCCAAGCAAACAUUGAAAAUGCAACAGCUAACAGUUGUAUCUCAUUAGUAAAGUGACCUAUUGCAUCAUUAUUAAAUUACUGCCUCUAUCUUUGUCAGAAUUAUAUUUUGUCGUUAAAGUGAUGGUCUAAGGGCAAAAGACUGCUCAUGGAUUGGAAUUAAGAGAUAAUAUGCUUUAUUAAAUGAUGUGUGUGGUAUGUACUUCAAGGCACUCAAGCCCUUCUUCAGUAUGAGCGCCCAAAAGCUUUCCCAAUUUUUCUACAAUAUCAGUUUGACAUCAUCUACCAGCAAAACACAUUCUGCUCUGCUAGAGUUGGCGUAGGUUUAUCAGGACUCAGAGUGAGCCUUGGUUUCUAGGAGAGCUGUCAGCUGACACACUGCUCUGGGUCUUUUCUCUGCUCUGGGGAAAAUGAUGUACUCAAAGUGUCAUAACCAUCUGUGCAUUGCAAUCCACCCAACGUGUUACUGGAGCUUCUUUUUUUCAGCUGAGAUUGCUUCCUUCCAAGACGCUGGGAGACUACCACUGGGGAACAGCGGUGGAUCUUCUCCAACCUGGAAAUCAAAGUACACAGUUUUGUGCGUGAAAGUAGAGAACUCGUUGCUGAAGCAGAAUUUGUAUGUUCCGUUCCUGGAUGCAGUAAAUGUGAAGCUAUCAUAUUGUUUCUUCAUCUCUUUGUACAAUACAAUGCCAUCAGGAUCUUCCAAUCGACAGUCAACAUCGUAAUGGCCUCCAGUGAUCACCUGAAAACAAAAAACAAAGAAUUGUCUUUUUAACAAAACAGACAUUUAAUACAUUUCUUCCCAGAAAUACGAUUUGUCAAAUGGUACCGCAAAGUUUCUAACUCUGACAAGUAUAUUUUGGAACAGAAUACAUUAAUUUGAAAAUUGUUCGAAGCCAGUCUGCAAAAACCAUCCUCUUAUGGAAGAGGACACAGAAAAUAACAGAAAAAACUUUCAAGAUAUGAAAUGUCAACUACAUUUUCAAAGUUUAUAAAAGAAAUUUUAGUUACUUUCUUAUAGCUAAUUGCGCUAUAGCAAAGGCUAGAUAGAUAAAACUUGAUGGAGCAGCAAAGACAGUAAUGUAGCAAAUCACCAUUAACUAAAUCCACAACCUCUCCAUGGAAUCAAUUCUGCAAGUUGAGAUUGUUAAAAUGUGAUAAGACAGCUCCUUUCUGUAUGGCCUAAGGAGCAUAACUACCCUAUUAGGUCAAGCUGCUUGGCGCCACAGGAAUGGCAUAUGACCAGUAAAACAGGUAUUACAACAGGGCUAGUGCUUCCACCAGCUUGUCAGAGAAGUAGCAUUACUGAGGGGUCUGAUGCAUAGCUCCUGCACAGUUGGCAGCAGCACUUCUCUUCAAAACCAGCACAUUGAGACAACUCCUAUGAGUGGCUCCAAACUACAUGACUCACUUUCAGGGUUUGGUUACUGUUGACAUUACUCUCUAGAAGCAGACAAGAUAUCCCUGCCUCUGUAACAAGACCCACUGGUUGUUCAUAUACUUAAAAUUUGCUACAUUCAUGACUCUCAGGAUAGCAGUUUUAAGCUUAAUAUUAACUUCAGCUCUCUUCCUUGUGAGAUAAAGCAUGCUGAAUGAGGAAAAUACUUGUAUCUGAAGGCAUGUCCCUUUUGUAUUUGUACAGAAACCCCCCAAAGUAAGAGAAGUUUUACUGAAUUGAGUAUAUUUUACAUAUCUGUUUGUGUAUCUUCGCUUUAGAUGUGCAGUUCACAUAAUAUUGCUUAAAACCACAGCAAUUUUUCUAUCUAUCAAGUUAUUAGAACCAUAAAGUUGAUGGUAAAGCAGAAAUAGCAAAAGAGUUGAAAACUAUCUGCUCCACAGACAGCAAAUUUUAAAAACAUUCAGCUGGCAAGUGAGAUCUUCCUGAUUUUCCAAAAACAUGAUAACAAAUUAAAAAAAAAAAAAAA
This is a long non-coding RNA of Numida meleagris (helmeted guineafowl), 2706 nucleotides long. RefSeq lists it as uncharacterized. Lineage: Eukaryota; Metazoa; Chordata; Aves; Galliformes; Numididae. The record is from RefSeq and is a predicted model, not a curated record. The transcript has 3 exons.